AUGGCGACCAAGCCGGCGGGCAAGGCAGGGGCGACCAUGGCCAUCGGGGUGUUUUCAAGGGAGAGCGAGGCAACCGCCAUCACGCAACUGAAGAAGUUGAAACCCGGGGCGAAGUUGGUCAUCAUGGCCAGCAUGAAAGUUGACAAACCUAAAUGCCGAGCUAGGAUCAAGCCACGACCCGGGCAAGCCCCAGGCCAAUCACUUGGUACAAUGCUAAACAGUGUAAAAUCCGCUACAGUAAACAAGCCUGAGGACCUAGGCCGCCGCCUGGGCAGCUUGGGGCUUGUCUCCGCCACUGCGCAGAAGGAGAGCGGUGGCGCUGUGAAGACCUCGAUGACUGCUGCCAUGACCACGACCAUGACGAUUGUGUUG
RNAcentral lists this ribosomal RNA (372 nucleotides) under Triticum aestivum (bread wheat). RNAcentral describes it as "partial small subunit ribosomal RNA". The record is from RNAcentral. Lineage: Eukaryota; Viridiplantae; Streptophyta; Magnoliopsida; Poales; Poaceae.